Molecule: ribosomal RNA, 600 nt
Filed under: Pseudoalteromonas shioyasakiensis
Lineage: Bacteria; Pseudomonadati; Pseudomonadota; Gammaproteobacteria; Alteromonadales; Pseudoalteromonadaceae
Description: bacterial SSU rRNA
Rfam family: Bacterial small subunit ribosomal RNA
Source: RNAcentral
CAUCCUUUGGCGUCGAGCGGCGGACGGGUGAGUAAUGCUUGGGAAUAUGCCUUAUGGUGGGGGACAACAGUUGGAAACGACUGCUAAUACCGCAUGAUGUCUACGGACCAAAGUGGGGGACCUUCGGGCCUCACGCCAUAAGAUUAGCCCAAGUGGGAUUAGCUAGUUGGUGAGGUAAUGGCUCACCAAGGCGACGAUCCCUAGCUGGUUUGAGAGGAUGAUCAGCCACACUGGGACUGAGACACGGCCCAGACUCCUACGGGAGGCAGCAGUGGGGAAUAUUGCACAAUGGGCGCAAGCCUGAUGCAGCCAUGCCGCGUGUGUGAAGAAGGCCUUCGGGUUGUAAAGCACUUUCAGUAAGGAGGAAAGGUUAAGUGUUAAUAGCACUUAGCUGUGACGUUACUUACAGAAGAAGCACCGGCUAACUCCGUGCCAGCAGCCGCGGUAAUACGGAGGGUGCGAGCGUUAAUCGGAAUUACUGGGCGUAAAGCGUACGCAGGCGGUUUGUUAAGCGAGAUGUGAAAGCCCCGGGCUCAACCUGGGAACUGCAUUUCGAACUGGCAAACUAGAGUGUGAUAGAGGGUGGUAGAAUUUCAGGUG